AGCUGGGGCAGAAGCAGAAUUUUAGAGAAGGUGGUUAAAGGAACUGAUCUGACUGCAUGGAUUCAUCAACUCAGGGACACCUGUGUAUAGAAAAUGCACUGCAUGCAGAAUCCUUUGUCGUGGGAAAAAAACCUCAGGAAGCACAAUACUGCAACCUCUGCAAUCACUGUGACCUGCUGCAAUUGAACUCUAAUUUUCUGUAUAAUAGAGAUGAAUGCCCUUAGAGAUGCAAAUAUAGGAAAGAAAACACUUUUCAACUAUAAUGGUGUUAUACAACUCUGAAUUUGGAGCCUGGAAAAGAUUUCACAGUCUCCACAACAAAUCUCUGAAUCUAGAAGUGAAGAGGGAAUGAUUUCUUUGUGGUAAGUUUCCAAUUCCAGAUUGUAGUUAUAAGCAAUGACACAACAACAACAACAACAACAAAAGAACUAUAAAAGACUUCUAUAGUAAAAGUCAUGAAAAAUAGUCCAAAAAGGCUUAAUGUUUAAUACUGAAACUCUGGAAUGAGACAGCUGUCUGAAGAUCAGAGUGUGUUACUCUUACGCUGCCUUGAUGUCAUAUAUUGCUGUCAAAACAUGAACUGCUAGACCUUACUGAUGGUGAUUUUAAAAUGAAGACAAUAAAUGAGGGAGAAAGCCAAAACAGGUAGUAUGACUCUGAGCCAUGCAAGAAGAUUCAAGACUAAGGGCAAGAGAGAUGAAAAUCUAAGAGCUGUUAUGGACCAAGGCAAAGAAAAGACAGGUUAGGGCAAAUCAUAGUGAAAUUAGACAAAUAACGUUUGUAGCAUCAUAGUUCAGACAGGCUUAAAAGUAAGUGGUUACUUAUACUCCUGAGGUAUAAUUUUUCCACUUGCUGUGCUCGUCUAGCUUUCUGCAAAUGCUGAGUGCGGGGUAUGUUGUAG
Oxyura jamaicensis (ruddy duck) is the source of this 901-nucleotide long non-coding RNA. RefSeq lists it as uncharacterized. The transcript has 3 exons. The record is from RefSeq and is a predicted model, not a curated record. NCBI's taxonomy places the organism in Eukaryota, Metazoa, Chordata, Aves, Anseriformes, Anatidae.